AUUCGAACCCUGUGGGCCUGAAUGUCAGUAUAUUUGGUUCACCACCAUAGUUUUGCAUCUCCACCCAGAUACAUGGUAGUUGUGGUUACCUUUCUAGCUUCGUCUUCAAUCGAAGCUGCGAGAAAGUACUGAUCCAUAUCAAACAAGAAGUUUUCGACUUCUUUUGCAUCACGUGCCCCUCCGUAGGUACACGGUUCAAGAAUUCUGAGUCUAGGAGCAUACUCAGGUACGGAAGCUUGCCCAUUACCCACCGCACGUUGGAGUACCCGCAAUUGAGCUCUCAACGCUUCCAUUUCAUUCUGCAGAUCAGGAAUGAUUGUAGCAGUUUCAGUCAUUGCUGCGCAAGCCCUUUGGCUUUCAUCCAGUUGGAUGUGUAAUCCACGAAUCUCGGAUUCGACUAUCUCGACUUUUUCCUCGAGACCUUCCAAAGUAUAGCACAACCUAGUAGUUGUCUCAUCAAGCGCAUCCACG
RNAcentral lists this long non-coding RNA (471 nucleotides) under Olea europaea subsp. europaea. The record is from RNAcentral. Lineage: Eukaryota; Viridiplantae; Streptophyta; Magnoliopsida; Lamiales; Oleaceae.